CGUGCUCUCUGCCUCUUACUUUCUUCCAGAUUGCCGCACCGCGCUGCGUCUUCGCAGUGGACUGCAGGGGAACACAGAGGGGAGAGGAAAAAAGAAUAGUUCAGACAACGGCAUAUGGACAAGAGGUUCGGCACGUGCCACUGUCGCCUUUUCACGUCGAGCAUUGCCAAGAACGCACAAGGGAAAAAAAUAAAACACCAGGCACUGCUUUUUGUGCGCGUAAACACUAAUAACACCAACAACACACACGAAGGCGGGAGUGGUGUGGGAAAGAAAACCUGCUGCUUCAUCCUGAACCCGUCCCUGCAACGUUUUCUUACUUUUUGUUGUUGCUCAUCGCGCGCACUUAGGGAAGCUUUCUGCAUCCCUGCCUCCGUUUAGAGUGCUCUUUUCCUCUAUUGCUUCUCUUCGCUUUCGCCUGUUCUGCCGCGUUUUCCUGUUCUUGUUUGGCUUUCCUGCCUUGCUGCGCCGGUGCCAUUCCGCGUUCCGUUUCCGUCUCUGACAUCCUCCUCACCCCUGGUGCUCUCUCCCUCUCUCCGCUAGAUCAUACUGUCACUUCUUUGUUUUGUGUGUUUACUUUGUUUUCGUUUUUUUAGUGUGUGCGCCUGUGCGUGGCCCGUAAGCCGAACUUACACCUGUUUGUGCGUUGCAGUUUUCUCGUCGCCGUCUUCGCUCCGCUGUAUCUCAGCGAUACCGUGCACGUGUGCACAAAAAGGUUUUCACCGUGGCAUAGAUUGCGCAGCAGCCGCGUCUUUAUCAUACACCAUCGCGAAGUGCGUUCUUUUCUCUUUGGAAAAAGAAGAAAAGAGAUUAUCGGUGCUUUCGUUAUCGGACGCGUGCCGGUGGUUGUUUGCCCACGCCUUGCGUGGGCAUUCACCUGUGCGUGUGUGCGUGUUUCUCUUGAUGGUGAGGCUGCAAAGCUCAGCUCCCCCCCCUCCCCUUAGCAGCUCUUUUUUUUUUUCCUUUUUGGUGCGUUCGUUCACCAGAUCCCUUGCGCUUCGUUUAUUCUCUGCGCAGCAUGGAGGUUCCGGCCACCAGGCCUGAGGUAACGACCACCGGCAUCUACGGUGAGGAGCUGAACGUCGUCCGCCAGCACCUUCUACGCAGCGAAUUAUGCUGGUGUGGGGACCUCACCAGUCGCACCCAGGUGCUUGUUGUCGGCUCGGCUCUCUGUGCCGCAUCUCGCAAGCUGUCGGUGGCACGCAUGCGCGGACUCCCGUGCGUCUCCAUCGAAUGGGCGACAGACGGCGCCUGCGCGAUGGAAUCCACGCACCGCUUCGACAUCGGCCACGGAUUGACGGGGAAGGAGGUGUGCACCACAAGCCUGAAUCACCUUGAGCGAGGCCGUGUGCAGGCCGUGUGCGGCGCGCGCCGCGCCACCUACAACUCUAUGCUUACGCGGCACUGUGAGUUGCUGGUUGCAUCAACAGCGGCACUCAGCUCGAUACUAUUGUCAUCGUUACCUACAGCGACCUCAAACGACAAAGUCCGGUUCGCGCGGAAGCACGGCAUCCCGAUUAUUGCCAUGGAGGAGUUCGUGCUGCUCUACGCCACCGAGCAGCCCUCCCGUCACCACCUGCCGCUAGAGGAUGCGGUGCCAGGGCGGGUAGCGCACGACGCGUCGUUGCUCAGGGCGUCCGACCGGGGCAGCAGAGCUAGCAGUAGCAAUGGUCACACAGAUGUCGCCUGCGAACCGAAACACAGGACAGGGUGCAGCUCGACUGGGGCCUCCGCAGGCUCUCUUAGCUCGUCGAAUGACAACGGGGCGCCGGUCUGCGGGUCGGUGCGCCCCUCAGCACUGCCGGUGCGGUCUGCCACUUCGACUCUCAGAUCCAGUGUCGCUAGUCGUGGGCGCAGUAUCACAAGCGUGCGAGGGUCUCGCCAUACAGAGGGGACGUUUAGGGGUUGCGACAGCAUUAUGCUCAGCGCCGUUCAGCCGUCUCUGUCGUCGUCACAGCUCAUGCCCACUGCAUCGACAGCGGCCUGCGCCUCCCCGCCAGGGAUGUCUCGGCGUCCACUUGCCGAUGAGUUCUCUGACGUUGUUGCCUACUGCAGCCCUCCACACCGGCUCACAACGCAGCAGCACGACCUGCUGAGUGGCAUGGGAGUCACUGUCUCUCCUCAGCUUACGCCGUUCACGACACAUGUCCUCGUCCUUGGCGACGGCGUGGAGGAGUGCCUCUACCCGCGUCCUGGCCUGCAAGUCGUGUCGUGGCAGUGGGUGACGCAGUGCCGGCUGGAACAGCGCCGACUUUCAUGCCUCGGCUUCCGCGUCCAGUGCGUCUUCCGUCCCGUGUUGACCUUCACAGGACUUGCGCCGGCAGACCGGCACGCGCUCCUCUUAGCGCUGCAGCGGUCUGGGCUGCCGGGGAAGGUGCAAGAAGCCCUCGUGCUUGGUGGCAGCGGUGAUGGGCGAUAUGGCAGUGCUUCCAGUCUUCCCCUAGAGCCGGAGGGCAACCCGUACCUCCCGUGCAACACAACGCAUCUUGUGGUACCUCGCGGCCAGCUUCUUUCCUCCCAAAAGGUUGCGGCGCUCGCCCAGCACCACUAUAAGCACUCUUCGCGCCCACGACCGCACUCGUCGGCGCCCUUGACUUCGGCAUCGGCAUGCCGCCUCGUCGGGGUGGACUGGGUCUAUCGAUCCAUUCAGCAGGCGCAGUGGCUGGAUGCAGACCUCUUCACGCUGGCAAUUCCGACUCCUGAGGCGUUCACCUUCGUCAAAACGGUCCGCGCAAACGUCGCACGCACGGCGGUACCACACAGCGGCCAAAAUUCCCAGGAGAGCCUCUCAGUGCGGCUGCGCAUCUCUCAACCUUCCUCGGCGUCAGCGACAGCGACAAACCUCGCUAUGCAGACGCCGGCCUUGCGCCAACCGUCGCCAUCUCGUUGUCGCUGCCCUCGCUUGCAGGAUGCGAUUGAAGGCGGCGUGGAGGGGGGUCUAGGGAAGCCGGCGGUGGGAGGAAGAGUAGUGGAAGACAGGGAGGAGGAGGAGGAGGCGGCCUCAUCCCAGCAGCCCAACACAGACGUUGGACGCGCCAACGACACGGCUUCGCCACCCCCACCGCCCCACCGCGCGAGGGACGAUGACGACGAGGAAGCCGGUGGCGAGUCCCCGUUGGCAGCAGCAGCGGUGCGGUCUGCACUGCAGGCAAUUCACUCCACCUCUCCCCACCCCUCCUCUGCCCCGUCCCGCUCUGCGCGUUCGCCGUCGGCGACGGGAAAGCAAGAGGGCGGUGCACCCUACGCAAGGGACGAUCUUGCCGUGACGCUGCACCACCACGCCGACCCACCAUUGUCCUCCUACGCCUACCUCACCACUCAGUGCACACCAGGCUUUGAGAGCCUUCUAGGGGAACUGGAGGCUGCUCCGCCGGGAACGCUGUUCGGGGCGUCCGCGGUGCAUGCCUCGCUUUAUCCUCGCCUUCUGGCCUGUACCACAGCCAACGCAUCCGCCGUCUCCGCUCCGUCUGGCGGCGAUAGGGAGGGUCAAGUUCAACGAAGUGGAUCGUGCUCGGCUACCGCGCCGCCCACCGGCGCCGAUCUGUGCGUCGAGCAACGCGCGCUCCUCCGUCGCACCUCCGCGCAGCCGCACAUGAUCCAUCAGCAGCAGCAACUGCUAGGCCGCACCAUGUCAGAUGAAUCACAGGUUAUUUUUUACCAGAUGGCGCUCGACGAGGACGGUGGUAUUGCCGCAGCCCCGCCAGCAGCUUUGCACAGCAACCCAUAUGCGAUCACCGAAGCCGUAGAGGAUAGGAGGAGAGCCAAGGCCGCCAUGCCAUCUGCCAGCUGCGUCGCUGGAGCAGUCACCCAUGUUUACCCCCGCUCCGCCUCUACCUCGGCGGUGUUCCUGAUUACGAAAGACGCGCUCAAGAGCGACUUUGACGCCUUUGUGGAUGCCUUUCCGCACGUUCAACGCACAAGCAAGCCGGAGGAAUGCACACACUUCAUCACAGCAAAGCCGUCCAAGACGGAGCAGUUUCUGUGCUGCCUCGCCGCAGGUCGCUGGAUACUGACGCCUGCGUACGUCACGGCGUGUGCGCAGGCCGGUUAUCUCGUCAGCGAGGCGCCGUUUGAGUGGAGCGCCGAGGUAGCCGCGUCGCUGGGCUGCCGCUCCUCCGUUGCAUCGCUUGCGCGUGGCUGUCGGGUGCAGCGCGAAGCGUCUCAGCUGCCGUUUGCGUCGUGGCAGGUGCGUGUGUGCUGCACUAACUCCGCCCGCACUGCAAGCUUCCUGCGAGUGCUUCGUAACGGCGGGUGCACGUCUCUCGAGGGUGCCACUGCCGCGGAGGUGAUAGCGGCGUUCAAGAAGCGAGGCAGUGCGCCGCCGUCGUCAACCGAGCUCGUGCUCGCCGAUGAUGCCGUCUUCAGCGAGCGUGAGCUGGAGGACUUUGCAUCCCGUCCCGCGUCCAUCGCGUGCCCUAUCAUGCGUCUGGAGUACUUGGUUCAGUUUCUGUGCGCGCCAGACACGCCGCGGUCUGAGAUGAACUUGCUGCACUGGGGACGGCCCCGAAAGCGCAGUCGGACGGAGGCAGCGGCAACCGAGUAGGCGUGCCUCAAGGAACGAUAGAGAAUAACGAAGGAAACGAAGGCAGCGGGCUUUUCUUCGUGCCGUGUCGCUCUUUUUCGUUUAGCUCUCCCUUUUCAUCUUCUCACCGUGUCUGCCUUUCGCUCUAUCCAUACACACAGGCGGUGCAUUGCUGUUGUGCGUGUGUGCGUCUGUGUGUACACGUGAUUUGAACCGAGCCUCUCUUUAUCUUCCUUCCUUAUCCGUUUCGAGCCACGAAAAACGCGUGAGGCGCGCUUUCCGCUCGUGUACAUAUCGUAGUUAGAUAACUUUCCAUCUGGACGUCAUGGUGCAUGAUCGCCGUUCACCCGGCUGUGACGCGGGGUGCGUGCGUGGCCUAUUUCC
This 4906-nucleotide unclassified non-coding RNA is filed under the name Leishmania donovani. RNAcentral's name for it is "gene:LdHU3.29.2730(CDS-product:hypothetical_prote in_conserved)". The record is from RNAcentral. Lineage: Eukaryota; Euglenozoa; Kinetoplastea; Trypanosomatida; Trypanosomatidae.